RNAcentral lists this ribosomal RNA (398 nucleotides) under uncultured bacterium. RNAcentral's name for it is "bacterial SSU rRNA". It matches the Rfam family "Bacterial small subunit ribosomal RNA", at positions 28 to 419 of the family's 1533-position model. The record is from RNAcentral.
GAUGAACGCUGGCGGCGUGCCUAAUACAUGCAAGUCGAACGAGGUGCUUUUGUAGCAAUACGAAAGUAUCCUAGUGGCGAACGGGUGAGUAACGCGUUGGUGACCUACCCCAAAGUGUGGGAUAACAGUUCGAAAGAACUGCUAAUACCGCAUGUGGUUAUCGGAUUUAGAAACUGAUAACUAAAGGAGCAAUUCGCUUUGGGAGGGACCUGCGUCCCAUCAGCUAGUUGGUAGGGUAAUGGCCUACCAAGGCUACGACGGGUAGCUGGUCUAAGAGGAUGGCCAGCCACACUGGAACUGAGACACGGUCCAGACUCCUACGGGAGGCAGCAGUGGGGAAUCUUGCGCAAUGGGCGAAAGCCUGACGCAGCGACGCCGCGUGGGUGACGAAGGCCUUC